Long non-coding RNA from Salvia miltiorrhiza (redroot sage), 611 nucleotides. RefSeq lists it as uncharacterized. The transcript has 3 exons. NCBI's taxonomy places the organism in Eukaryota, Viridiplantae, Streptophyta, Magnoliopsida, Lamiales, Lamiaceae. The record is from RefSeq and is a predicted model, not a curated record.
AGCAAAACAAAAACCACAAAAAAACCCGCAAAGGACCACAAAAAAAAAAAAUAUAUCUGGCAUCUUUGUUUCUAGAUUUGAGCCUCGCCUUCUAUCGAGAUCUACAAAUCUCUUCCUUCUAAUGGUUGUGUAAGCUUCUUACUCAUCUUAUCUGAAUUGUUAUCUAAGAUGAUGCAUUUGAGCACUUUCUCUGCUUGAUGGAGACGAUUAGUUCUUAUGUCCAAUUUCUGGGUUGCAUGAUAAAGGUAAGUCAGCAGUUGUCGAGGUCGAAAUAUGAAAAAGAGUGUGGCGUAUUGCUCUGCAUGCCUUUCAUCUGUGCAGGAUAGGGUGCUGGUGGAUUCCCAGCCUUACUCUUUUACCAAAUACCCCUCCCCUCAGACAUCGACUUAUAAAAUUCCUAAAAGUCAAACUAUUUGCUGUAUUUGAUCCGUCACAGGUAUGUGGUAUUUUUGUCACGGCACCAGUUAUCGUCAUUAGCUCAGAAGCACGGAAGUGAAUACAUUUUCUACACCAAUCAUCAUUAAAUGUAUUGAUGAAUCAUGUCUGAACAUUGCUGAUGUGUUAUUACCUUAUUGGCUUGUUUUAAGUGCACAUAUGGUUUCAAUUGCAAA